ACUGCUCAGUAACACGUGGAUAAUCUGCCCACAGGACGGGGAUAAUCCCGGGAAACUGGGAAUAAUACCCGAUAGAUCAUUGGUACUGGAAUGUCCUUUGAUCUAAAUGCUCUUUCUACGCCUGUGGAUGAGUCUGCGUCCGAUUAGGUUGUUGUUGGGGUAACGGCCCAACAAGCCGAUAAUCGGUACGGGUUGUGGGAGCAAGAGCCCGGAGUUGGAUUCUGAGACAUGAAUCCAGGCCCUACGGGGCGCAGCAGGCGCGAAAACUUUACAAUGCGGGAAACCGUGAUAAGGGAACCCCGAGUGCCUGUAUAUGCAGGCUGUCCAGGUGUCUAAAAAACACCUGAAGAAAGGGCCGGGCAAGACCGGUGCCAGCCGCCGCGGUAAUACCGGCGGCUCGAGUGGUGGCCACUUUUAUUGGGCUUAAAGCGUUCGUAGCUGGGUUGUUAAGUCUCUUGGGAAAUCUGACGGCUCAACCGUCAGGCGUCCAAGGGAUACUGGCAAUCUUGGAACCGGGAGAGGUGAGGGGUACUUCGGGGGUAGGAGUGAAAUCCUGUAAUCCUCGAGGGACCACCUGUGGCGAAGGCGCCUCACCAGAACGGCUUCGACAGUGAGGGACGAAAGCUGGGGGAGCAAACCGGAUUAGAUACCCGGGUAGUCCCAGCCGUAAACGAUGCGCGUUAGGUGUAUCGGUGACCACGAGUCACCGAGGUGCCGAAGGGAAACCGUGAAACGUGCCGCCUGGGAAGUACGGUCGCAAGGCUGAAACUUAAAGGAAUUGGCGGGGGAGCAC
RNAcentral lists this ribosomal RNA (793 nucleotides) under Methanoculleus sp. enrichment culture clone A2294. Its description in RNAcentral is "bacterial SSU rRNA". It matches the Rfam family "Archaeal small subunit ribosomal RNA", at positions 85 to 879 of the family's 1478-position model. The record is from RNAcentral. Lineage: Archaea; Methanobacteriati; Methanobacteriota; Methanomicrobia; Methanomicrobiales; Methanomicrobiaceae.